RNAcentral lists this long non-coding RNA (3348 nucleotides) under Paramuricea clavata. Lineage: Eukaryota; Metazoa; Cnidaria; Anthozoa; Malacalcyonacea; Plexauridae. The record is from RNAcentral.
UUUUCAAGGUUGCGAAGGGAGACGUCAGUCUUGAUGAGCUCAAAGUGUUGGCUAAAGAGUUUAAAUCAAUUAGACCUAUUCAAGGGAUAAUCUCUUCUUUCUUUGGAAAACCAUGGGAGAUUAUAAUUGCAAAAGAACUUCCAGAGUGCACAAAAGCAGAACAAUUGCUUCGUUUUCCUGUAAGUUUUACACACUACUAGAGUAAGUGAUGAUAUUUCAAAUUGCUUAAUUAUUGUACUAACUUAAUUAUAUUUAGUAUUUUUGCACAAGUGAAUAUAAUAAAUCCUACAAGUUGAUUGGUCAAAUUGGAUGUAUUAAGCUGACAUUAUACCAGGGUCUGAAAUUUAAAUAUUUUCUCAGUAUCCAACUGGGGAACCAGGAUUCAAAGUUUAGUUUCCCCCCUGAGAAUGCAAUAUCCCACUUCUUGAUACUGGUUACCAUAAGUAUUCUACCCUAUCCCAUCCAAUAACUCUCGCUGUUACAAGCUAUCAGGAGACUGUCAGAGGUGCUUAACAUUUCCCUAAUCAUGUUUCGCUCGCUACUCUGGUUUAAAUAAAUUAUUACAAAGCCCAGUCGAAUUGUAAUCAAGACCUUGUAAUCAAGACCCUUGAUUACAAUUCGACUGGGCUUUGUAAUAAUUUAUUUAACCCAGAGUAGCGAGCGAAACAUGAUUGAUAUACCUGGUUGCAGUGAACGAACAAAUUUUAAAUUUCCCUAAUGUUUGAAAUUUUGUUAGUAUCCAGUUGGGAUACAAGUCAUUCACAGUUUGGUAUCCAAAACCAAAGUUUAGUAUCCUGUGGAUAUCGGGAUACUGCAAAUUUCAGACCCUGUAUAUUCACCUACAAGUGAAUACAAAACCAAGUUACUAGUAAAGAAAUACAGUAAGCAAAAUUAAAAUAAAUUCAGUCCGAAAAACACAAAAGACUUGUGUAAAAAUACUAAAACAAUUAUUCGCCUCAGGCUCAGGGAAUAUUCACCUCGACUUCGUCUUGGCGAAUAUUCCCCGAUAAUCACUUCGGUGAAUAAUUGUUAAAUGUUUACAAUUUUCUAGGCAUUGUCAAAGGGGUAAUUAUGUACUGCAGUUUCCAUAUUUGUAAUACAAAUACCCAUUGACUGACAAUGUGCUCAAAUGCACCCAAUGUUAUUAUUUUACUUUGUCUAAUGCCAGAUGAUUUUACUUGUCAAGGUGUUAGAGUCUGGCAGCUUAAUGUGCUAACAUUCUCUAUCUGUGAAUUUCUCCUGUUAAUCCAUUGACUGGUAAUGUGCCCCGCUUUAUUCGUGAACUGCACCGUCUAAUCUACAUGUAUUACUUGUGGCUUAGGAAACCUUGCUAUGGUGCAGUCAGUUAGUGCUUUUAUGGUGUACCAUGCUUCUGUUGGUGAUAAGUUACUGCUGGACCAUUUCAACUUUGGUGAAAGUUGUCCAUCAAAUUUAAUUAAUCAAGGACAGAGGAAUGCAUUUGGUUAAUUAAUCAAGGACAGAGGAAGCAUGUGGUUGGUUAAAUGAUCUAAUAAGAAUGUUUAGCCAUGAAGGUGAUUGGGUGUUCGAUAUGAACUCUUCACAAGGUACCCUAUAGUAAUUAAUGCCUGUUUAGCUACAGGACCACUUUGUUACUUUACAGCAUAGGGUUAACACCCCCCCCCCCACCCCUCCUCAGUGAAUUCGCCCCCCCCCCUAGGAUCUCUCUAACCCCUCCAAUAAAGUGUUCAACCCCACCAAAAUUUCACUUCACCUCUCCUAUUUUGUGUGAAAGGCUUUAACCCAAACGGCUAACCCCUGCAGAAGCUCACUGAGUGGUGCCGCUUGCACCCCACUAGAAAAUUUUCUAGCCCUCCUUUUACAUACAUGUAAAUGAAAAUCCGCCCUUGCUUUACAGUGAAUACUGUCCAUGCUUAUCUAGCCCGCGUGCAGGCACACCGAGGGAAGAAUAGUGGGCCUGCAAGGAAGACCGGGUGUUUUGUAAAACGCCCCUUUUCAUAACACGCCCCAUUCGCAAGUCAAUUGUCAAACAAGAACCAACGACAGCAACCCAAAUAGUAUUAAACAAACUUGCAAUAAAAUGAUGCGGGGAUUUCUCUGCGUAUUCAGAAUAGAAACAAUAUGUAAAUAAAGCAAAAAAGCAAGCAAACCAGUCAGCUCCAAAUCCUGCCCAAUUUGCAAGUGCUCAAUUUCACUUACUUAGUUUCACUAAGUACGAAAUUUAUUUCAGCUAUUUAAUCUGCUAAAGAACUCGACAAAAGAAGAGAGAGUUCAGAUUCCAGAUCUUUUCAAAUGGCAAUUACCAUCUUCUGUUUUGCCCUCUCAGAAAGGAAGCCCUGCAAAUCGCAAAGUGUUUCGAACAGGCUUACUUGCAACUACCUCUAAAUCUUCACCACGAAAAGUGCUGUUUUCUUCAGUGUAAGAACAGAGUCAACAUGAACCAAAACAUAAUUUUCUUAAGGAACAUAUAAACGUAUCAAAUUUGUUUUAAAUUAACAAAACUCAAGUAUUAAAAGGUUUAUACUAUAGUUUACCCCAGUGGUAAUGUUGCUAUUCUAACACUUCAUGACAAGCAAUCCCGCUGGCAUAACGGCAAAAACAUCUCUUCCUUCAAGUAAACAAUAAGCGAUCGGUUCUUGUACUGGUCAUUAUUAAUCGAAAAAAGUGAUCAGAUCCAAUAUUAAGCUUAUUGAGAGCUUUGUGAUGAAUCACUGAUCUAAUUAUACAGUCUAACAGCAAACAGCCAAUCAGAAUGCUGCGUUCGUGUGCGAACAUGACAAAUACAAAAUACCCGGUCUUCCUUGCAGGCCCACUAUUCUUCCUUUGGUGGGCCUGCAUGCAGCUAAUGCUUAUGCAGUAAUAUACAUUAUACAUAAGUGCAUUGUACAUACGAUUCUAUUAAGGUUCUCUUUCAAAAACUUAAAAUUUAAACUCUGAUUGUGCAAGGGAUGAUGGAUUAUUGAACUCUGGCCUACUCUGAGUUUAAGGUUUAAGUUCCGGUCUUACUGUUUGGAAGAACAACCUUAAUUGUAUCACCCCCAUAUAUAGAUAAUAGAUAGCUUAAGAUCUACGACGUCGACGUCAGCUAGGACGUCAGGGCUAAACAGAGGACUGGGACUACAUUAGGACGACGUCCCAGUCCUCUGCAUAGCCCUGACGUCCUAGCUGACGUCGGCGUCGUAGAUCUUAAGCUAUCUAAUAUAUAUAUAAAACGUAAUUAUUUAGAAACAUUCUCUAAUAUUCAGUAUUGGUAACUUAUUACAGGCAAUGCAGUUGUUGCUGCAGUUGGGAUGAAACGAAAUGGUCUUUGUAUUGUCCAGUCUGAUGAUGAAGAAUUCGUCACGAAAAGAAACUUUAGAAAGCUGAUGG